CCUACGGGAGGCAGCAGUGGGGAAUUUUGGACAAUGGGCGCAAGCCUGAUCCAGCAAUGCCGCGUGAGUGAAGAAGGCCUUCGGGUUGUAAAGCUCUUUUGUCAGGGAAGAAACGGUCUACUCUAAUACAGUGGGCUAAUGACGGUACCUGAAGAAUAAGCACCGGCUAACUACGUGCCAGCAGCCGCGGUAAUACGUAGGGUGCAAGCGUUAAUCGGAAUUACUGGGCGUAAAGCGUGCGCAGGCGGUUAUAUAAGUCAGAUGUGAAAUCCCCGGGCUCAACCUGGGAACUGCAUUUGAGACUGUAUGGCUAGAGUGUGUCAGAGGGGGGUAGAAUUCCACGUGUAGCAGUGAAAUGCGUAGAUAUGUGGAGGAAUACCGAUGGCGAAGGCAGCCCCCUGGGAUAACACUGACGCUCAUGCACGAAAGCGUGGGGAGCAAACAGGAUUAGAUACCCUGGUAGUCCACGCCCUAAACGAUGUCUACUAGUUGUCGGGACUUAAUUGUCUUGGUAACGCAGCUAACGCGUGAAGUAGACCGCCUGGGGAGUACGGUCGCAAGAUUAAAACUUAAAGGAAUUGACGGCUGAGAGAGCGAGACGACGACGAGGGAGGAGG
Molecule: ribosomal RNA, 617 nt
Filed under: uncultured bacterium
Lineage: Bacteria
Description: bacterial SSU rRNA
Rfam family: Bacterial small subunit ribosomal RNA
Source: RNAcentral